GAUGAACGCUGACAGAAUGCUUAACACAUGCAAGUCAACUUGAAUUUGGGUUUUUAACUUAGGUUUGGGUGGCGGACGGGUGAGUAACGCGUAAAGAACUUGCCUCACAGCUAGGGACAACAUUUGGAAACGAAUGCUAAUACCUAAUAUUAUGAUAAUAGGGCAUCCUAUAAUUAUGAAAGCUAUAAGCGCUGUGAGAGAGCUUUGCGUCCCAUUAGCUAGUUGGAGAGGUAACGGCUCACCAAGGCGAUGAUGGGUAGCCGGCCUGAGAGGGUGAUCGGCCACAAGGGGACUGAGACACGGCCCUUACUCCUACGGGAGGCAGCAGUGGGGAAUAUUGGACAAUGGACCGAGAGUCUGAUCCAGCAAUUCUGUGUGCACGACGAAGUUUUUCGGAAUGUAAAGUGCUUUCAGUUGGGAAGAAACAAAUGACGGUACCAACAGAAGAAGUGACGGCUAAAAUACGUG
This 468-nucleotide ribosomal RNA is filed under the name uncultured bacterium. Its description in RNAcentral is "partial 16S ribosomal RNA". It matches the Rfam family "Bacterial small subunit ribosomal RNA", at positions 28 to 507 of the family's 1533-position model. The record is from RNAcentral.